GCGGACGUAGCUCAGUUGGUAGAGCGCAACCUUCCCAAGGUUGAUGUCGCGAGUUCGAGCCUCGUCGUCCGCUCCA
RNAcentral lists this transfer RNA (76 nucleotides) under Nocardioides luteus. RNAcentral's name for it is "tRNA-Gly". It matches the Rfam family "tRNA". Rfam says of the family: Transfer RNA (tRNA) molecules are approximately 80 nucleotides in length. Lineage: Bacteria; Bacillati; Actinomycetota; Actinomycetes; Propionibacteriales; Nocardioidaceae. RNAcentral also lists the same sequence under 8 other names. The record is from RNAcentral.